UGCAAAAAUCAUUCUGAAACUGAAUAUAUUAGUUUUCAAUUUAUGUUGGUCCGAUUCAGUGGCUCACGCUACCAUAUUAACCGGGGUUUUGUUUUUUGAAAUGAUUUCCCAGGCGACUCCAACCGUGGUUUUGGUUCGGUUCAGAGUUAUGUGUAAAUGUAUACAUGUCCAGUUCCCUACACAAACUGCUUGACAAAUUUUGUUAAAUUAGUAUCUGAGGCUUUUUCGACACAAAUUCCUAAUUUUUGGGCGUAUCUUGUUAAACCGAACCAUUUUUAUACCCUCCACCACUUGUGUAAAUGUAUACAUGUCCAGUUCCCUACACAAACUGCUUGACAAAUUUUGUUAAAUUAGUCUCUGAGGCUUUUUCGACACAAAUUCCUAAUUUUUGGGCAUAUCUUGUUAAACCGAACCAUUUUUUAUGCCCUCCACCACAUAAUGGAGGGUAUAUUAACCUUGUCAUUCCGUUUGUAACUCCUCGAAAUACUCAUGAAAGUAUAUAAAUUCUUGUUCGGCGUAAAAUUCUAAAACGAUUUAGCGAUGUCCGUCUGUCCGUUCUAAUCAGGCUAUCUUUUGAACAUAUUGAGAUAGAAGCUAAAAUUUUGGAGACAUAUAGAUGUUGUCAGUAGCCCCAUGUAAAGGUACUUCUCAAUAUUCAUAAUUUUAUGGGUUUAGCGACAUUAUAGAUCGUAUUGGAAUAUAUUAAUGGGUACUACAACUUAUGACAAAGUACGUAUGCAGGUCCACGUCUUCGUAUACCCCACAUAUAACGGUAUUUUGAUUAUAUAAGUGACGUUAUUCAACGGAAUCCUUUCCAAUUUGGUACUUGAAUGUCCUGGAGGGUACUACAGCCUAUGACAAAAAUUCCUUCCAAAUGGUCGCGGGUAUUAAAAGUUCGGCCCGGUCGAACUUAUGUGCUUUUUUACUUGUUACGAUUAAUGUCAAUAUUCUCUUCAAUUUUUGUGUUUUCUAAAUUCAUAGACGCGGCAAAAGAGAGUGAAUUGAGAAAAAUUAUUGGUUGCUGUGUUACAGAUAAUUCAUGGACUUGCCUGUGAAAAAUUCAGAAGAUGUGUUAGAUGGUAUCACUUCUGUAAACCAUUUCAAAGGAAGUGCACAUUUCCGCAGAAUUAGAUUGUAAUGUAAUGAAGAAUUAAAGGUGUCUGGUUACCCUAAAGUUGCUACAAAGUAACGCAAAAUUACUAAAAAAGAGACAUUCUUCAAAAAGAUUUCUACCAUAGACAAAUGAAGAUAUAGACAACGAAAUGCUAUCACCGUUUAUCUUCGAAAAAAUCGGAUCAGCAGAUGUCGUAUAUAGCGUUUCAGGGGUUUGAAUGGGAAUAUUGAAGUCACUCAAUUCUUAAAUGUUAAAAAUAAAAAAAAACUUUAGGAUAUUUGUCAGUUGAAAAUUGUUCCAUAAUAAAACAAAUGUGAAAAGUACGUGAACACAUCGAAAUUUGAACGCGUAAAUCUGCAUGUUGACUAUGCAAAAACCUAAUGAGAGCCACCUGGAUAAAAAGACAAAACUCACUUUUCAUUGUCUAUAUGUUCAUUUGUCUAUGUUUCUACUUGCGAAGAUUUGCAACUCUUUUUCUUGCGGCGAAGUGUUUUGCGCAAACAGUUUUAAAACUUUUUUUAUUUUAAAAAUGCAAGAAUAAUUGUUUAGUUUUUAGCUGAUGUUUAAUUUUUGAGUGCUGUUCAUAAUAUUGCUAUUAAUUUGCCCAACACUGUUGGUUGGGCAUUUACCGGCGGCCGCAUAAAUGGCAUCAUAACAAAAUGAUGUAAAUAAUGUAAAUACAUACACAUACACACAUACAUUUAUGCAGCCACCGGUAAAUUCCAAUGCUGAAUUCUAAUAACUAAGCAUCGUCAACAGCCAAAACAGGUUUGAUGUGACGAUGCAAAUUGGACAAUAGUUAGUUCUCAUGUAAUUACCGUCGCGAAGACAAGUUCCCCCCGUGUGACAAGUGUUAGUGCGCAAAACAAAACCUACUAAUCUUGUAAUUUUACAAAAAAAAAACAGUGAACAUUUAAUCAUCAACACUACAAAAAAAACCAAGAACAUUGUUAAUAUUAAAAAGUGAACAAAUAAAUUGUGAAACUAUAUAACUUAUAUGCUAAAACUUACAAACUAAUGAAUUAAAACUAUUUAAUUUAAACUUAAAAUCUAUUAAAAUAAAACUUACAAAUUAGUGAAUUAAAACCCAAAUAUAAAUUAUACAAAAUAAUAUUACUUAAACUAAAUUGCACUACCCCAAAAAAUCUAAAUAAAAGACUGAACUAAAACUGAAACAAAAAAUAUAUCUUAUAAUUUAAACAGGCAAAAAGGUAAGCCUAAAAACAUUUGGUCCUCCAGAGCCGGAUCAAAAAGUGAAAGUUUUUUAAAUUAUUAAAAACAAAAAAGAACAGUGAGAAAAAAGAACAGUGAAAAAUACAGUGCGGUGCAAAAAUAAGUGCAAAGAAAAAAGGUUUUGAAAAAAAAAUAAAUAAAUAAAAAAAUAAACUUUAAAAAUAAUUACAAAAAACAAAAUAGACAGUACACAGUGCAACAAAAAGUGAAGUUACACAGUGCUACAAAAAAAUAAAAUUUUUUAAAAUUUUAGAAAAAUUAAAUUUUUUCUUUAAUUUUAAAAAAUAUAAAAUCUAAAAAAUUAAUAAGAAGUUAAAGAAGUUUUAAAAGCAAAAGAAAAGAGUGACAAUCAACAAGAGUGGCAUAAAAAUUUAAUUUACAAAAAGACAACACACGUUGCUACAAAAGAGACAAUACACAGUGAGACAACUUACAGUGACACAAAGAACAACCACAACACGGAGAAUUUUGGAGCCAGCAGUAGGACGGACACACGCAGCACAACAACAACAAACAAGGUACAACAUCGAGACCCGGAAAAAAACCCAAAGUGAGUACUCGUGAAAUUUUCUUUUUUGACACAAAAGGGCAUUUCGGGAGCAGGCAAAUCUUCAAUAUUUGCAUUGACCCGCAUAUUCCCAUAUUUGGCAAGAUAAUUUUGACACAUAUUCAAAGCUGCUAGUUGCCCACUCUGACACAGUGAACGAAAUUUUCCAUUUGGAGCCAUUUUUGUGGACAGACAUUUGGCUAUUGACCCGGAAAAAAGGAAAAAAGCAGAAAGACACAUAUUUUUUUCAAAAAUAGCGGGAAUUUUCAGCCAUAUACAAAUAUAUAUAUAUAAAAAUUUUGGAAUUUUCUGAACGUGGAGUUCAGGUGAAUACAUAAGCGCCAUAUUGACACAAAUACAUAAGCUUUUAAUUUUGGAAAGUUGGCGUCACUUAACUUGGCAAACAUAUAAACGCCAUAUUGCAAAAACUAUAUACAAUUUUUUGGAAAAAAAGCGUCACUUGCAAUAUAUAGUCGCCAUAUUUUUUGGAAAAAUUUGGCGUCACCCGAAUACAUAAACGAGUAAAUAAAACCCGUUUAAAAAAUAGCAUCUGGUGGACAGACAUACAUUUGAAAAUUAAACUACAAAUUUUUUGAAAUUUUUGGAGAAAAAAAUUGGCAAACAAGCAAGCGUCUGGUGGACAGACAUACAUUUGAAACUUAAACUACAAAUUUUUUUGAAAUUUUGGAGAACAAAUUUUAUAUCGGAGUCUGGUGGACAGACAUAAAAUCGAUCCCAUAUAUUUACAAUUUUUAUUUUUAUUCUAAUUUUAACCUUUUUUCCCAUUUAGCACAAUAUCUAUUGCUCUAAGGAGCUUAAAAAUUUUUCUGUGACCCAAAAUUAAUUUCUUGCAUUUUUCGCAGAAAUAUUUUGCUGGUAUAAUUUUUUUUGAUUUUGUGACACAUAACACGACAACUUUUUGGAAAAAAAAAAUCUCUUCAUUGACAUUUUUUACACUUUCUUGAAUUCUUUGCUGAAAAUAUUUGGAUUUUGACCCAAAUUAUUUUCUUUUGUAAUAUUUUUCUGGGACAUAAACUUUUCCGCUGAAAUAUUUGGACCUUGACCCAAAUCAAAUUUUUUGGAAAUUUUUGCUCAAAUUUUUGGAUUUUUGACCCAAAUUAUUUGUUUGAAAUAUUUCUGCUGAAAUAUUUGGAUUUAUACAUACAUAAUUUCCUCUAAUUCUCGUUGCGAAUUUUAUCAAAAAAAUUUGGCGAAUUUAGAAAAUUUGUUGAAUCAGACAAAUUUUCACAAGCAAUAAUCAAAGUUAUUGGCUUUUUAAAAAUAAAAUCCUCCUGUCAUAGGAUAUUAAGUGAUUUUAACAAAAAAUUUAAAUUUUUUUUUGACAACCCAACACACAUUUUUACUUCGUUGAAAUUUUUUUUGGACUCUCUGAAAUUUUUUGGAAUUUUCAACUUCUCGUGGACAAUCAAAUUAGACUCUCGUUUUUUUUGAAGAAAUUGUUUACUGCGCAAAACAUCUCUGGUAAUUUCUGCUUUGCAAUUCUCGUUUAAACACUUUUGUUUUAAAAACUUUUGAUUAUUUGUCGAAUUGCAAAAAUAAAAUCCUCCUGUAAGUGGACUUUAAGAGAUUUUAUUUUCCUUUUUGCUCAUUUUGGCGAAAUUCUGACCCUUCUGGCAACCCAGCAAACAUUUUUAAUCAAAUCAGUCCGGCGUCUAAUACAAAGGAAAUUUUUUGAAAAUUUUCAAAAAUUUUGAAAUUUUUGAAGGAAACGAAAUAUAAUUUGACUCAAACCAAUAAGAUAAGAUCGUUUUCGUCGACAAAAAUUGGAGAAAGAAACUUAUCCUCAUUUUAGAAAUAAAAAUUUGGAUAAAAGUUUAAAUUCUAAACCAAGUUAGUCCUUUUCGUUGGGCAACUUUUCUUUUUUGUAAACCAACAAAAUUUCGUAAAGGUUAACGCUCAGUUUUCAAAAUGGAUAAAACGUUAAGCGAUAAAUUCACAAAUUGCGUCAACGAUCUUCUGGAUUAUAUUUCAAUUUUUUCAAUAACCAAACCUGAUGACACGGUACAUACUUUGGAAACAACACGAAUGGAGUUGGACUCUGCAUGGGACCAGGUCAAGAGAGCCUACAUAGACUGUCGGGAUUAUGUUCCAGAAGAGGAAGGAAAGCCGAUCGAUAAAAAUAAACUGAGAAAGCACUAUAUGGAUACCAUGGGAUCGUACAAAAAAGCGCUGAGUUCAAUAAAUGGACAAAUUCAAAAUAUUUUGGAUGAAAAGACACAGGAAAAAAUGAAAAGAGAGUCAGAGAUGUCACAACAAGGAAGGGAAGUGGAUUUCACAAACGUAUCGCGGCUACCUCCAUGCGAUACAGACACAUUUAAAGGUGGUUACAGAGAAUGGCCGACUUUCAGAGAUCUAUUACUCAAAAUUAAGCAAUGUCGAAAAAUUAUUCCAUUUAACGCAGAAGACAGCAGGAGAAGCUAGAGAAAUUAUUUCACAUGUCCCACUAACUAAUGAUGGAUUUACAUUAGCAUGGAAAAAUCUCACAGAUCGUUACGAGAAUAAAAGAAUGCAAAUUAAUGAAGAAAUCAAGACACUUUUUAAUCUACCUGGAGUUUCUGCUGAAUCAAGUCACUCUAUUCAAAAACUACAACGCACGGUAAAUAGCAGCAUUCAGACACUGGGGAUACUUGAUGUCGACGUUAAAUGAUGGGAUCCGAUUUAAAUAUACAUUUGUUCAACAAAAUUACCUAGAGGCUUUUUAGAAGAAUUCGAGAACUCAUUAAGCGAUUGUAAACAAAUUCCAAAAUGGGAACAGUUUGACGCUUUCUUAACAAACAAAUUCAAAACUUUGGAAUCAGUUGGUAACAUAAAGCCCUCUACAUCGAAAUUUGCUCAACAAAAACCAACUAACAAUCACACGCCUAGAUUUUUGAAAACAUUUCAGACAAAUGUCUCAAAAAAUACAAACAACUUUGGAGGAAGACCUACUAAUGUAAUAUUACCUCAACAAAAUAAACAGAAAAAUACUCAAACUUGUCAAGUCUGCAAAUCAAAUCAUUUCAUAAGAGAUUGCAGCGAAUUUUUGAAAAAGAGUGUGAAUGACAGAAUUCACAUCGUGAAAACAUCACACUUAUGCUACAAUUGCUUGUCAUCAAAUCACGGAGUAAAGGAUUGCAAAAGUCGCUUUGGCUGCCGUAUUUGUACUAUGAAACACAACACUUUGUUACACAAGGGAACGGAAACCCAAACAACUAACUCAUACCUAGCUCGAGUGGAAGCACGACCUAGUACUAGUGCUGCCGCUCUUACAAAUCAAAUACAGUCCACUACAAACCUAGAACCAACUACUAUUACUACUUUGACCCUCCAAGAUAAGCAAAUUUGUGAGCGACAAUCUGGAGGAACACUACUCUUCACAGCAAUAGUACAAAUUGAAACCAAAGGACAACUUUACGAUGCCCGAGCUCUAAUAGACUCAGGAUCACAAUCCACCUUUAUUUCGGAAAAGAUGAAAAACUUUUUGAAGUUGCCUACACGGAAUAACUUAGUUCAUGUCACUGGCUUAAGUCAAUUUGUUUCUGAGACUUCAACAAAAUCUUGCUUGUUUACUAUGAGAUCCAAAUACGACCCUAGCUUUAAACUGGAAGUCUGGGCUCCAGUUUUAAAGAACUUACCUUCAAAUCUACCACCACAAAACUUAGAUGAAUCACAACUUCGAGAUGUAACAGCAUUAGAACUGGCUGACCCGAAAUUUUACGUUAGUCAACCAAUCGAUUUACUUAUUGGAAUGGACAUAGGACCAUUAAUAUUCACAAUUGGAACUCCAAUGAAAACAUUUGUAUCAAUUUUAACACAAAAAACCAAAUUUGGAUGGAUAGUUGCAGGACCCAUACCAGGAAGCAUCCUUCAACGAAAACAAAUAUCACUUCUAAAUACAACUUCAAUAGAGAAAGUACUUACACGUUUUUGGGAGGUGGAAGAGACCCCUAAAAAAGUUUUACGGUCAGAAGAUCGAAUCACGACAAAGUUAAGAGUCGUCUUCAAUGCUUCUUGCCCAUCAUCAAACAAAACAAGUAUCAAUGACAUAUUGUUUCCGGGACCCAUUUUACAACAAGAUUUGGUACUACAAAUUCUAAAAUGGAGAUUUUUUAAAUAUGCCUUCAAUGCAGAUAUAACAAAGAUGUAUCGCCAAAUACUUUUGGAUUCAAAGCAAACGAAAUAUCAAAGAAUUCUCUUUAGAAAGUCUCCGGAAAACCCAGUAGAAGAUUAUGAGCUGCUAACAGUUACAUUUGGAGUUAACUGCGCACCAUAUUUAGCAUUGAGAACUCUUCUUAAACUAGCAGAAGAUGUAAAAGAAUCAUACCCUAGAGCCGCAAAUAUAAUUUUGAAUAAUUUGUAUGUUGAUGAUGUAUUAGCUGGCGGUCACACUGAAGAUGAAUCAAUAAAAGCUCGAAAAGAAUUAACUGCUGCUUUAGACUCUGCCGGUUUUACACUAAUGAAAUGGGCAUCAAAUGAUCGCAAAAUAAUACAAGAUAUUCCACAUGAACAUUUGCUACCACUCAAUUGGCUAGACAUUUCCGAAGAUGCUUCAACUAAGACCCUUGGAAUUCGAUGGAAUAUCUCAGGCGAUUAUUUUUCGUUUACACCACCCUCAAUGGAAAAUAAAAAUGUAUCUUCAAAACGAGAAGUUUUAUCAACGAUAGCCAAAUUGUUUGACCCAUGUGGAUGGCUGGCACCGGUAGUUGUCGUAGCUAAGUUAAUAAUGCAACAAAUCUGGCUAGACAAAAUUGACUGGGAUGAUCAAUUAAAGCCAAUAACACAAAUGAACUGGAACAAUUUUGUCAAAAAUAGCAAAGAUAUUGAAUAUCUCAGAGUUCCUCGAUGGAUUCAAUACACGCUAGAUGGUUCUGUAGAGAUUUGGAAGCCAAAAUGGCAAAAGUUAUGACUCUUUUCGCUGAUGGAGAUGACCCUUUAAAAAAUUUCUCCUCUUUAUCUAAAGUUUAUCGAUCAUACGCAUAUGCUCUAAGACUCUGGAAAAAUACUGGAGCAAAUAGGCAACACCUUCGAACCUCAUCAAAAGACCUUACUUCAGAUGAAAUCCAAGAUGGAAAACGAUCUUGCAUAAUUCGUACCCAGAAAUUCGUAUAUGCAGACGAAUACAACGCACUUAUGAAAAAGACUCAAAUUUCUCCUUCAAGUCCUCUCUUGACACUAAACCCGUUUAUAGACUCAAAGGGUAUUAUUAGAGCAAAUGGCCGAUUGGUACAAUCGCCAGCCCUUACCUAUAGCGAACGUCACCCAAUAAUAUUACCACAUGGCGCAAAACUUAGCAAACUAUUAGUCGAAUUCACUCAUAAGGUUACUUUACACGGGGGUAAUCAAUUAAUGACCCGAGUACUAAGGUCCGAAUUCUGGAUAUUUGGACUCAAGUCGCUUAUCAAACAAACCAUACGAAAAUGUCGAAUCUGCUUAAUUCACAAAAAACAAACCCAGACUCAAAUAAUGGCUUCGCUACCACCCGAACGCACUUUUCUUUCUCGACCCUUUACAAACACAGGGGUAGAUUUUGCAGGACCCUUUAACAUUAAAAGUUAUUCAGGAAGAGCCUGCUUUAUUACAAAAGGCUACGUGUGCCUGUUUGUUUGUUUCGCCACUAAGGCUAUACAUUUAGAACCCACAAGCGAUUUGUCGACAUAUGCCUUUCUUGCCGCUUUUUCUAGGUUUAUUAGUCGGCGAGGUUGCCCGUCUUGUAUAUUUUCGGACAACGGAACUAACUUUGUGGGAGCGGUUGAUCUAUUAAAGCGAGAUAGAUUAGCUUUCAUGAAGAAUAUUCAAAAUAGCACAAUUCAAAAUAAUUUCACUCAAAAUCUUACUUGGAAAUUUAUUCCUCCUGGUGCUCCGCACAUGGGCGGCUUGUGGGAAGCUGGCGUCAAAUCAUUUAAAAUUCAUUUACGAAAAAGUAUCCCAAAAAUGAAUUUCACUUUUGAAGAAUUUACAACUAUUUUAUCAAGAAUUGAAGGCUGUCUUAACUCACGACCCUUAAGUCCUGCUAGCGACAACCCAAACGACCUUUCCCCUUUGACACCUGGUCAUUUCUUAAUAGGAACACCUAUUCUUACCCCAGCUGAACCAGACAUUUCAGACACAGAUUUAAGCUUAGUCAAUCGUUGGAAAAGACUCAAAGUUAUUUCGCAAUAUUUUUGUAACAGAUGGAAGUUAGAAUAUCUUCACGAACUUCACAGAAGAACUAAAUGGAAAUGUGAAAAAGAGAAUAUCAAAGAAGGAGAUUUAGUUGUCGUAAAAGAUGAUAGAUUGGCUCCGCAUGAAUGGAAGUUAGGUCGUAUCGAAAAAAUGUAUCCAGGUAGUGACCAAAAUACCAGGGUUGUAGACAUACGGACGGCAAGUGGCAACAUUAGCAGACCCAUUACAAAAAUUGUCAAAUUGUUUUCCGACUGACUAGUCGGAUUCCCACUCAAAAAAGAAUUUAGUACUCGCCUUAAUUUCUUUUCAGAUAUGGUUGCUUACUUGCCCAACCAGGACUGCCGUCUGGACGAUCGCAACCGUAGCCCAGACUCACCUGCCCGUCCAACAGCAAGAAGCGCCAAUCGACCCAUACGGCCAAUCCAUCGUCCCAGUUCCACAUCCCCUGAAAGACGUCAACGAAGCCGAUCCGACGCAAGACCCCGCCAACGCCAAGAAAGACCAAGUUACUGGCAGUAUUCAUGUGGGCUCUGCCAAGAUGACCAUGCCCUCAGUGCCUGUGAACGAUUCCGCAGACAGACGCCCUUCCAGCGGUAUGAGACCGUGGAGCGUCGGGGAUAUUGCCGCAAUUGCCUGGCGAGAAGUCAUUUGGCCCCCGACUGCCCGUCUUUAACUGGUUGCCGGAGAUGCAACGACCGGCACCAUACCUUACUGCACGGGGCGUCUCAGUUGGACGAGGUAUCCCUCAACAUCGAGGCCAUUACAACCCCAGCCUUCGCAUGGGAUUUGGUGUUUGUACCAACAGCGAUGGUACGCAUAACGGCCGAGGGCAUGGAGGGUUUUAGUAUGCUGCGAGCCAUUAUUAGCCAAUCUGCGACGAUGUCCAAGAUUUCGUAUGCCGCGUUCCGUCGCCUGGGUCUGCAGUCGCGAGAGUACAAAGGGGAGCGAUUCACCACCUUCACCGUUUCGCCCCGCCGCACAAACAGUACUUGGAGUCUGAAGGUAAAUGCAGUAAUUAUCGACGAUCUCCCCAGACGCAUUUACUCAGACCCAAUACUAGAAGACCCCACGAGAUGCUUUACAAAUUACGCCCUUGCUGACCCUGAUCCCCGAGGAGGAAAUAGUCCAAUCGAUGUGGAACUGGGAGCGGACACGUACUCCGCCAUAAGGAAAGAUGGGUGUACAGCAGCUGGAAUUGGAGAUGUCCUGGCCUACAACACACAACUGGGCUACGUGUUUGCUGGGCCAAUCAAGAACAUGCCGAGGAACUGAAAACCGAGGAUCCUUAUGUGAACAUUUAAUCAUCAACACUACAAAAAAACCAAGAACAUUGUUAAUAUUAAAAAGUGAACAAAUAAAUUGUGAAACUAUAUAACUUAUAUGCUAAAACUUACAAACUAAUGAAUUAAAACUAUUUAAUUUAAACUUAAAAUCUAUUAAAAUAAAACUUACAAAUUAGUGAAUUAAAACCCAAAUAUAAAUUAUACAAAAUAAUAUUACUUAAACUAAAUUGCACUACCCCAAAAAAUCUAAAUAAAAGACUGAACUAAAACUGAAACAAAAAA
RNA transcript from Musca domestica (house fly), 10621 nucleotides. RefSeq lists it as uncharacterized. The record is from RefSeq and is a predicted model, not a curated record. The transcript has 2 exons. NCBI's taxonomy places the organism in Eukaryota, Metazoa, Arthropoda, Insecta, Diptera, Muscidae.